This 450-nucleotide ribosomal RNA is filed under the name uncultured organism. RNAcentral describes it as "partial 16S ribosomal RNA". It matches the Rfam family "Bacterial small subunit ribosomal RNA", at positions 331 to 797 of the family's 1533-position model. The record is from RNAcentral.
GUACACUCCUGCGGGAGGCAGCAGUGGGGAAUAUUGGACAAUGGGCGCAAGCCUGAUCCAGCCAUGCCGCGUGAGUGAUGAAGGCCCUAGGGUUGUAAAGCUCUUUCACCGGUGAAGAUAAUGACGGUAACCGGAGAAGAAGCCCCGGCUAACUUCGUGCCAGCAGCCGCGGUAAUACGAAGGGGGCUAGCGUUGUUCGGAUUUACUGGGCGUAAAGCGCACGUAGGCGGACUAUUAAGUCAGGGGUGAAAUCCCGGGGCUCAACCCCGGAACUGCCUUUGAUACUGGUAGUCUUGAGUUCGAGAGAGGUGAGUGGAAUUCCGAGUGUAGAGGUGAAAUUCGUAGAUAUUCGGAGGAACACCAGUGGCGAAGGCGGCUCACUGGCUCGAUACUGACGCUGAGGUGCGAAAGCGUGGGGAGCAAACAGGAUUAGAAACCCUGGUAGUCCCA